UGGGGAAUAUUGGACAAUGGGCGCAAGCCUGAUCCAGCCAUGCCGCGUGAGUGAUGAAGGCCUUAGGGUUGUAAAGCUCUUUCACCGGUGAAGAUAAUGACGGUAACCGGAGAAGAAGCCCCGGCUAACUUCGUGCCAGCAGCCGCGGUAAUACGAAGGGGGCUAGCGUUGUUCGGAAUUACUGGGCGUAAAGCGCACGUAGGCGGACAUUUAAGUCAGGGGUGAAAUCCCGGGGCUCAACCUCGGAACUGCCUUUGAUACUGGGUGUCUUGAGUAUGGAAGAGGUAAGUGGAAUUGCGAGUGUAGAGGUGAAAUUCGUAGAUAUUCGCAGGAACACCAGUGGCGAAGGCGGCUUACUGGUCCAUUACUGACGCUGAGGUGCGAAAGCGUGGGGGAGCAAAACAGGAUUAGAUACCCUGGUAGUCCACGCCGUAAAACGAUGAGUGCUAGCCGUCGGGCAGUUUACUGUUCGGUGGCGCAGCUAAACGCAUUAAGUUCCCCGCCUGGGGAGUACGGCCGCAAGGCUAAAAACUCAAAAGGAAUUGAC
RNAcentral lists this ribosomal RNA (547 nucleotides) under uncultured bacterium. RNAcentral describes it as "partial 16S ribosomal RNA". It matches the Rfam family "Bacterial small subunit ribosomal RNA", at positions 355 to 914 of the family's 1533-position model. The record is from RNAcentral.